This 464-nucleotide ribosomal RNA is filed under the name Vreelandella stevensii. RNAcentral's name for it is "partial 16S ribosomal RNA". It matches the Rfam family "Bacterial small subunit ribosomal RNA", at positions 338 to 795 of the family's 1533-position model. The record is from RNAcentral. Lineage: Bacteria; Pseudomonadati; Pseudomonadota; Gammaproteobacteria; Oceanospirillales; Halomonadaceae.
CCUACGGGUGGCUGCAGUGGGGAAUAUUGGACAAUGGGGGCAACCCUGAUCCAGCCAUGCCGCGUGUGUGAAGAAGGCCCUCGGGUUGUAAAGCACUUUCAGUGAGGAAGAACGCCUGGUGGUUAAUACCCAUCAGGAAAGACAUCACUCACAGAAGAAGCACCGGCUAACUCCGUGCCAGCAGCCGCGGUAAUACGGAGGGUGCGAGCGUUAAUCGGAAUUACUGGGCGUAAAGCGCGCGUAGGUGCUUGAUAAGCCGGUUGUGAAAGCCCCGGGCUCAACCUGGGAACGGCAUCCGGAACUGUCAAGCUAGAGUGCAGGAGAGGAAGGUAGAAUUCCCGGUGUAGCGGUGAAAUGCGUAGAGAUCGGGAGGAAUACCAGUGGCGAAGGCGGCCUUCUGGACUGACACUGACACUGAGGUGCGAAAGCGUGGGUAGCAAACAGGAUUAGAUACCCCAGUAGUC